This 1339-nucleotide long non-coding RNA is filed under the name Gossypium barbadense (sea-island cotton). Its description in RNAcentral is "long non-coding RNA (GBAR_LNC016683)". Lineage: Eukaryota; Viridiplantae; Streptophyta; Magnoliopsida; Malvales; Malvaceae. The record is from RNAcentral.
GUAAAGAUGCCUCCUUUUAUUCUUUUUUUGUUUAAUAUUUUGAAAUAAAAUAAUCAAGAAAAAAAACAAAAAAAAAGAAAGUAACCUUCAAUCUUUUCUUUCUUCUGAACCGUUCUUGUAUUACAAAGGUUCUUAAUCGGUUUCCUUCCCCGAUUUCAAAAAAAAAUCCCCAUUUUACAUUGGUUUCAAUGGCUUGAUAUAGCCCUAAUACAUUUUUUAUAUUAUUUGUUGUCUUUUCUCUGUUGUUGCGUGUCCUUGCAGGUGCUUUGAUGGGAGUGGUUGGUGGUGGUUGCGGCGGUGGCAGGGAGUUGGUGGGCAUGGCAGAGGCUAGGGCGGCAGCUAGGGUUAUGGAGGCUAGGUUUUUGGUUUUUUUCUUUUUUCUGAUUUGGUUUAGGGUGUUUUGGGCUAGGGUUUGGUUGGGUCUUGUUAUUGGGCUGAUUGUUUUGGUUUAAUUAUUUUGGGUUCUUAUUUUUGUUUGGGUUAAUUGGGCCUGGGCAAAUGGGCUGUACAUUUACAAACAGGAGUGUCGAGACAAUUUGCAAUGCCAACAACAGGCUUUACGUGCUCCAUUGCUAUGUCCCUGCAAUGCAAUCAUAUAAAACAGUAGCAGAGAAUGAAAAUCUGUGAAUGAAUUGGAUAUUUUAUGAAGUAUUGAUAUGUCAGUGUAAGCAUGAAAAGGAAAACAUGAAUGCAAGUUUCAAGCAACGGCGUUUAUUAGAUGGAGCUAUGGAUGGGUGGCAGACAGAAACAUGAUGAAAUUCUGGUCACCAGAAUUAAGCUCUCGAUGUAUAUAAAAUGCUAGAUUCAAGUGUGCAACAGUUCAUUACAGAGUAUUAAGAGUUAAAAUGUUCUUUCUGUAUUAAUUUCAAUCUAGAGUAGAUUAUGUCUGCUGAUCAACUUGUCUUAAAAUCUAAAACUGUUGAUAAUGAGUAGAGGAAAUCAUAGCUUCAGAUUUUAUUACCUGACUUAGUGGCUGAAAAGUGUUGAGAGAAUAGAACUGAAAAUGAAGCAGUGUCUUACAAAGCUAGCUGCUAUGAGUAGCAGACAAUCAGAAACAAUCAUCGUAAAGUCAUGAAUCAAGCAAAGAAAAGCAUGUGAUGGAUAAAGCAAAUGAAAGAAAAUUACCUGGAAAUUUGGUGAUAGACCUUGGAGAUCAAAACAAAAUCAUUGAAGUUGGCAAUAAAUAAUAUUUAAUAAAAAUAAGAGUUGGGACAGCAAGGUAUAAGAAUGUAUAAUUAUAUGUUACAACUUGAAAUUAAAUAUACAAGUAAAUGAGUUGUAUUAGUAAAUGAUUUGCAUUGUGAAGUUGUCAGUAUUAAAUUUUGGAUCCUAACUGUAG